GCACGGAGUUAGCCGGUGCUUAUUCAUCUGGUACCGUCAACUAUCCAAGAAAAGAUAGAUUUCUUCCCAAAUAAAAGAAGUUUACAAUCCAGAGGACCUUCAUCCUCCACGCGGCAUGGCUGGUUCAGACUUGCGUCCAUUGACCAAUAUUCCUUACUGCUGCCUCCCGUAGGAGUCGGGCCCGUGUCUCAGUGCCCGUGUGACUGGUCGUGCUCUCACACCAGUUACUGAUCGUCGACUUGGUGGGCCGUUACCCCGCCAACUAUCUAAUCAGCCGCACACCCAUCUUUAAGCGCCGGAGCUAUAAUAUAAAAGUGAUGCCACUUCUAUAUGUUACGGGGUAUUAACCCGGGUUUCCCCGGCCUAUUCCCCACUUAAAGGAAGGUUGUGUACGUGUUCCGCACCCGUUUGCCGGUCGCCAGCAACGGUAUUGCUACCGUCCUGCUGCCCCUCGACUUGCAUGUAUUAAGCCUGCCGCUAGCGUUCAUC
RNAcentral lists this ribosomal RNA (489 nucleotides) under uncultured bacterium. Its description in RNAcentral is "partial 16S rRNA". The record is from RNAcentral.